RNAcentral lists this ribosomal RNA (824 nucleotides) under Leucosporidium muscorum. Its description in RNAcentral is "LSU rRNA". It matches the Rfam family "Eukaryotic large subunit ribosomal RNA", at positions 1 to 750 of the family's 3401-position model. Lineage: Eukaryota; Fungi; Basidiomycota; Microbotryomycetes; Leucosporidiales; Leucosporidiaceae. The record is from RNAcentral.
AGGACACGCUCUUGCAGUGUGGCCGAAUGAGAUCUCAGUAGAAGCUUCCAACUACUUUAGUCAACUUUAGAUUAGACCUCAGAUCAGGCAGGAUUACCCGCUGAACUUAAGCAUAUCAAUAAGCGGAGGAAAAGAAACUAACAAGGAUUCCCCUAGUAACGGCGAGUGAAGCGGGAAGAGCUCAAAUUUGUAAUCUGGCACUUUCAGUGUCCGAGUUGUAAUCUCGAGAAGUAUUUUCCGCGCCGGACUGCAUACAAGUCUGUUGGAAUACAGCGUCAUAGUGGUGAGAACCCCGUAACUGAUGCAGAUGCCCGGUGCUUUGUGAUAUACUUUCGAAGAGUCGAGUUGUUUGGGAAUGCAGCUCAAAUUGGGUGGUAAAUUCCAUCUAAAGCUAAAUAUUGGAGCAAGACCGAUAGCGAACAAGUACCGUGAGGGAAAGAUGAAAAGCACUUUGGAAAGAGAGUUAACAGUACGUGAAAUUGUUGGAAGGGAAACGCUUGAAGUCAGACUUGCUAUUCGGAGUUCAGCCGCAAGGUGUAUUCUUCGAUUUGCAGGCCAGCAUCAGUUUUCGGGGGUGGAAAAUCGUGGUUUGAAGGUAGCAACUUCGGUUGUGUUAUAGCUUUCCACUGGAUUCAUCUUUGGGGACUGAGGAACGCAGUACGCUUUUUGCAAGGCCCUCGGGCUUUUCGUACUUAGGAUGCUGGUGGAAUGGCUUUAAACGACCCGUCUUGAAACACGGACCAAGGAGUCUAACAUGCUUGCGAGUGUUUGGGUGUCAAACCCGGACGCGCAAUGAAAGUGAAUGGAGGUGGGAUCCGCAAGGU